GUGAGUCAUCGAAUCUUUGAACGCACCUUGCGCCUUUUGGUAUUCCGAAAGGCAUGCCUGUUUGAGUGUCAUGUAGACUCAACUCUCGAGAGGUUUCUUGCGAGUUGGAUUUGGGUGUUGCCAUUCGGCUCGCCUUAAAAGUGUUAGUGGUUUAAGCACUUGAUCGGACGUGAUAAGUUUCGUCCGGCCGUGUGUCGUCGACCGCUGCUAAACCGCCUUGCGGCGCUCUUUGACUCUGACCUCAAAUCAGGUAGGACUACCCGCUGAACUUAAGCAUAUCAAUAAGCGGAGGA
This 293-nucleotide unclassified non-coding RNA is filed under the name Basidiomycota sp. RNAcentral describes it as "partial contains 5.8S ribosomal RNA, internal transcribed spacer 2, and large subunit ribosomal RNA". The stretch from base 1 to 71 matches the Rfam family "5.8S ribosomal RNA", at positions 84 to 154 of the family's 154-position model. The record is from RNAcentral. Lineage: Eukaryota; Fungi; Basidiomycota.